Molecule: ribosomal RNA, 407 nt
Filed under: uncultured bacterium
Lineage: Bacteria
Description: partial 16S ribosomal RNA
Rfam family: Bacterial small subunit ribosomal RNA
Source: RNAcentral
AUUGAACGCUGGCGGCACGCCUAACACAUGCAAGUCGAGCGGAGCGGCGGACGGGUGAUUAACGCCUAGGAAUCUGCCUGCUCGUGGGGGAUAACGUCUGGCAACGGGCGCUAAUACCGCACACUAUCAGACGAGCCUAGGUCUGUUUAGCUAGUUGGGGGGGUAAAGGCCUACCAGGGCGACGAUGCGUACCUGGUCUGAGAGGAUGAUCAGUCAGACUGGAAGUGAGACAGAGUCCAGACUCCUACGGUAGGCAACAGUGGGGAAUAUUGGACAAUGGGCGAAAGCCUGAUCCAGCCAUGCCGCGUGUGUGAAGAAGGUCUUCGGAUUGUAGAGCACUUUAAGUUGGGAGGCGGUACCAAAAGAAUAAGCACCGGCUAACUUCGUGCCAGCAGCCGCGGUAAUUC